RNAcentral lists this ribosomal RNA (450 nucleotides) under uncultured bacterium. RNAcentral's name for it is "partial 16S ribosomal RNA". It matches the Rfam family "Bacterial small subunit ribosomal RNA", at positions 354 to 796 of the family's 1533-position model. The record is from RNAcentral.
GUGGGGAAUAUUGCACAAUGGGCGCAAGCCUGAUGCAGCCAUGCCGCGUGUGUGAAGAAGGCCUUCGGGUUGUAAAGCACUUUCAGCGGGGAGGAAGGCGGUGAGGUUAAUAACCUCAUCGAUUGACGUUACCCGCAGAAGAAGCACCGGCUAACUCCGUGCCAGCAGCCGCGGUAAUACGGAGGGUGCAAGCGUUAAUCGGAAUUACUGGGCGUAAAGCGCACGCAGGCGGUCUGUCAAGUCGGAUGUGAAAUCCCCGGGCUCAACCUGGGAACUGCAUGCGAAACUGGCAGGCUAGAGUCUUGUAGAGGGGGGUAGAAUUCCAGGUGUAGCGGUGAAAUGCGUAGAGAUCUGGAGGAAUACCGGUGGCGAAGGCGGCCCCCUGGACAAAGACUGACGCUCAGGUGCGAAAGCGUGGGGAGCAAACAGGAUUAGAAACCCGGGUAGUCC